Molecule: non-coding RNA, 1126 nt
Organism: Odocoileus virginianus texanus
Lineage: Eukaryota; Metazoa; Chordata; Mammalia; Artiodactyla; Cervidae
Source: RefSeq, a predicted model, not a curated record
ACUGAAAUGACCCUUUUGCCCCAGUAACAGCUGACCUGAGUGGAAGGAGGAGGAACUGGAAGUGACAGGAGCGGAGGCAGCUUAGGCCCUGGGGCCUGCAGGCCUGGCCCUCCAUCUCCAUCAGUGCCACAAGCCACUCAGGACGGAGGGCAGGGAGGAAGACCACCUUCCACCUCAGAGGGUCAGAGGAGUGACAGAGAGGGACUCUGACUGACUGAGUGGAGGAAGACAUACAAAGGAAUGGCAGAGAUGGGGGAAGAAACAGUACUUGUCCUUCCAAGCUCACCUCCUCCUCGGAGUCUUUGCUGAUCAGUUUCCCCCAACCAGAAGAGCUCUUCCUUCCCCCACCCCACCUGUUCACCUGCUCCAGCUUUUUGGUGUUCUGUGAAGCCCUGCAUGCACAGUCCACAAACAAACCACUCCAAGAAUGCAGCGCCAAGAAAACAGUUCUACAGGAACAAGUCCACUUCCUUUCACCAGAAACCCAGAAAACUACAGAAUCCACUCUGAUCCCCUUUAGACGCUGACUACCAGGAAGCUCAGGGCUACAAGAGCUCAACCUGAGGCCCUGCAAUUGGUGGCCUGAACAGCGAAGAAGUGCACACACACACAUGCUCUGUAACGGAGGCCUUCUAGGACCCCACCCCACGCCCUGCACCCCGUGCCUGGUACCUGCACGAAGAGGAAGGUGGCGAACCACUCCCGGAGCUCCAUCUGUGUCUCACAGCACAGCCCCAGCUGCAGAGAAGGAGCAGGUGCAGUCACUCAACCACCCAGAGAGGCCUCACAGCCCAGCAGCCUGGACCAGUGCUGGGGGCAGAGUUCAGGGCCUUCGGCAGGCACAGCACAUCCCAGCCUCUGUCUCCUCCUCUCACGGGCCCCUCCCGCUAGCCUCCCAGAGACUUGGCUCCCUACCCCCGAGCCCUAUGCCCCAGAGACAAGCAGGCACAACCAGGGGCUAAGAGGAGAAUGCCAGAAACCCAAGUCGAGUGACUGCAACUAAUAACAACGGGAGUGGCUGUGCAUCGCGUUUCAACUUUUAAAACAUACAACCAUCUCAACUGUAUUUCAAUUUUAAAAAAAGAAGAACCACAAUCAACUUCUGGAACAGGCGUGCCAUUAUUUU